UGAUAACGACAGGGGAGCGCCGCCGUCGAACCUGCAGGCAUGCAGGAGACGCGAGGGCGCUGAGAGUGCGGACAGCCGCAGACCCUCGAACCUGAUCCGGUUAGUACCGGCGCAAGGGAGUCGAGCUUCUCAGAGU
This 136-nucleotide non-coding RNA is filed under the name Arthrobacter sp. RNAcentral's name for it is "TPP sequence". It matches the Rfam family "TPP riboswitch aptamer (THI element)". From Rfam's summary of the family: Vitamin B(1) in its active form thiamin pyrophosphate (TPP) is an essential coenzyme that is synthesised by coupling of pyrimidine and thiazole moieties in bacteria. The previously detected thiamin-regulatory element, thi box was extended, resulting in a new, highly conserved RNA secondary structure, the THI element, which is widely distributed in eubacteria and also occurs in some archaea. RNAcentral also lists the same sequence under 1 other name. The record is from RNAcentral. Lineage: Bacteria; Bacillati; Actinomycetota; Actinomycetes; Micrococcales; Micrococcaceae.